This 303-nucleotide ribosomal RNA is filed under the name uncultured bacterium. RNAcentral describes it as "bacterial SSU rRNA". It matches the Rfam family "Bacterial small subunit ribosomal RNA", at positions 355 to 650 of the family's 1533-position model. The record is from RNAcentral.
UUAGGAAUAUUCGUCAAUGGGGGAAACCCUGAACGAGCAAUGCCGCGUGAGUGAUGAAGGUCCUUUGGAUUGUAAAACUCUGUUGUAUGGGAAGAAUGACCAAACUAGGAAAUGAGUUUGGAGUGACGGUACCAUGCCAGAAAGCUCCGGCUAACUACGUGCCAGCAGCCGCGGUAAUACGUAGGGAGCGAGCGUUAUCCGGAUUUAUUGGGCGUAAAGGGUGCGUAGGCGGCUUGUUAAGUAUGAAAUUAAAGCCCGGGGCUUAACUCCGGUUCGUUUCAUAAACUGGCUUGCUUGAGUAUG